Molecule: long non-coding RNA, 1968 nt
Organism: Sarcophilus harrisii (Tasmanian devil)
Lineage: Eukaryota; Metazoa; Chordata; Mammalia; Dasyuromorphia; Dasyuridae
Source: Ensembl
CUUUUAUCUUGUUGGGAAGAAAGCAGGUGAAAAGGUCAGAGUUCAAGUAGCAAUGAGAUGGAAACAUAUGGAAAGGUUGAAAAUUAGGAAGUGGAUAGGGAUAGACAUGUAAUCGUACCCCAGAGUUGAGAAGAGCUUCAUGUGAUAGAUACCCAAAUAGAAGGUGUCAACAGAAUUUUAUGAAAAUGGUUUUCUAUGAUAAUUUUUAUACCAAAAGAUUUUUCCAUUAUAUUUAAAAAAAAAAAAAACUACUUUGGUGCACUUUACAUUGGAGAGAAAGACAAAAGAAGAAAUGAGAAGGAUGAGGUUGAAACUACUGUUACUUCCAAAACAAAAAAACUUUUUUUUCUAAAUAAAUAGUUGUUGUUUUUUUUUUUUUUCUUUUUGGCUCCCUCCCUUUCCCUGAAUGUUUGUCUGAUGAUCCUCCCCUCCACACACAUACCUUUUUAAUCUCUCUUUUUCCCUUUCCCAUUUUCUUCCACUCUCUGCCCCACUUUUUCCUUCUCACACCCAAGAUAGGUGGGUGUUUGUGUGUGUGGAGGUGAAGGGGGGUGAAGAGAGCAUCGUGGGAAUGUUUCUUUCCCCACCAGAUUGAAGGGAGCACUGAUUUUUUUUCCUCUUUUGCUAGAAAUAAUUGCAAAAAAGAGGGGAACAAUCUUUUUGAACGAACAAGGGACCUAACAAGGCUAAGCAGUGUUACUGUAUUUUUUUUUAAGUUUUUUUUUUCUUUAAGACUUGUUUUCAGGUUAACAAAUUAAAUCUGAAAAAGCUAUCCCUCAUUGUCUUUUUUUUUUUUUUUAAAUACAUGAUUAGCACAUUGGGGAUUUAUAGCGUCUAUUUUCAGAAACGAAUUCUCUAGUAUAUUAUAGUUCUAAUUACUAAAUAUUAGGUGAAUUUUUCUUUUAUUUUUUAGAGAAAGUAGUUGAGCAUUUAUUAUUAAGGAAAUUGCAUUUCCCCCCAGAAUAAAGUAAAGCAUUGAAUACUGUGUUAUCACUUGAAUAAAGACAAAUAGAGUUUUUUUAAUGGCAUAUAAAACAUUGUUUCAAAAAGAAAAAAAAAAAGAUAAGAUGAAAGAAAGAAGGAAGGAAGGAACAAAAGAAGGAAAGGAGGGAGGAAGGGAAGAAGGAAAAAAAGAAGGAAGGAAGGAAGAAAAAAAUAGAAAACUUGAAGCAGUAACAGCUCUUACAUAGUUUCAGAUAACUAUCAUCAUAGACAUCCCGCCAAAUUAAAUAGAAGGUGCUAUCUUACAAGUUUUUGUUAGGUUUUUAAAACAACUGCCAGGAUGUCAGUUCUUUUUAGUUUGAAAUGACAGUGAUGAGAUAGAAGAAAAUCCGCAUUGCUGCCAAUUACUUUUGGCUUGGGGAAGAUAUAUUUUAAAGAUAUUCCUUCCCAUGAUUUUUCUGACUUAAAAGAUAUUUGAAUUGAAUUCUUACACAAAACUUUUAUGCUUUUAUUUCCACCGAUGCAGUGAUUUUUAGACAGUGUCUUACUGCAUUAUUCAAAGAUGUGAAAUGCUUUUUUUUUUUUUUUAAACCAGUUUUCAUGGUGUACAGGAAGUAUACAGAGUGACUAUGCCAAAGUGCCUGGGCACACAGUUGACCUUUGCCAGGCAGGACAGUUCUACAUCAGUGUUGGUGACAUGGAACACUAGGAAAGUUGUCUAUUGUAGCUUUUAUUCUGGCAACACUCUCAGAAUGUAGUUCUCAGAAGAAGCACGACUCAAUGACACAAUGCUGUUUGUAAGACAUCGUACAUUAAUUUUAAAUGGGAAAAAUGGGUGAUUGAAAAAAGAUUGCUUCCUAAUACACUACAUCCAUUUAUGUUCUAGUGCCUUAAUUUUUUAAUUUACUUCUACAUUUUUGUUAUAUGACAUAUGUGUGAGUGUUUAUUUUUAAUUUAGAUGGCUAUGUCAGAUCAAACUGUUGUACCCAGAGUUUGGUACUGGUUUUUUUUUUUUCUCUGAUCCUG